GAUGAACGUUGGCGGCGUGCCUAAUACAUGCAAGUCGAGCGAACGGACGAGAAGCUUGCUUCUCUGAUGUUAGCGGCGGACGGGUGAGCAACACGUGGAUAACCUACCUAUAAGACUGGGAUAACUUCGGGAAACCGGAGCUAAUACCGGAUGAUAUUUUGAACCGCAUGGUUCAAAAGUGAAAGACGGUCUUGCUGUCACUUAUAGAUGGAUCCGCGCUGCAUUAGCUAGUUGGUAAGGUAACGGCUUACCAAGGCAACGAUGCAUAGCCGACCUGAGAGGGUGAUCGGCCACACUGGAACUGAGACACGGUCCAGACUCCUACGGGAGGCAGCAGUAGGGAAUCUUCCGCAAUGGGCGAAAGCCUGACGGAGCAACGCCGCGUGAGUGAUGAAGGUCUUCGGAUCGUAAAACUCUGUUAUUAGGGAAGAACAUAUGUGUAAGUAACUGUGCACAUCUUGACGGUACCUAAUCAGAAAGCCACGGCUAACUACGUG
RNAcentral lists this ribosomal RNA (497 nucleotides) under uncultured bacterium. RNAcentral describes it as "partial 16S ribosomal RNA". It matches the Rfam family "Bacterial small subunit ribosomal RNA", at positions 28 to 507 of the family's 1533-position model. The record is from RNAcentral.